This 81-nucleotide small RNA is filed under the name Methylocaldum szegediense. RNAcentral's name for it is "isrK". It matches the Rfam family "isrK Hfq binding RNA". The record is from RNAcentral. Lineage: Bacteria; Pseudomonadati; Pseudomonadota; Gammaproteobacteria; Methylococcales; Methylococcaceae.
GCUGCUGCAAAAAACAGUAGCCGGGCGUGGAAACCCGAAUAAUCUCAAGGCGACUAAACGCCUCACCAUGGCGUUUUUUUA